Molecule: ribosomal RNA, 200 nt
Filed under: Ceratobasidium sp.
Lineage: Eukaryota; Fungi; Basidiomycota; Agaricomycetes; Cantharellales; Ceratobasidiaceae
Description: partial large subunit ribosomal RNA
Rfam family: Eukaryotic large subunit ribosomal RNA
Source: RNAcentral
AACGGCGAGUGAAGCGGGAAGAGCUCAAAUUUAAAAUCUGGCGGUGUAUUCCGUCCGAGUUGUAGUCUAGAGAAGCAUCAUCCGUGCUGGACCAUGUACAAGUCUCUUGGAACAGAGCGUCAUAGAGGGUGAGAAUCCCGUCCUUGACAUGGACUCCCAGUUCUUUGUGUUGUGCUCUCAACGAGUCGAUUUGUUUGGGA